CCUACGGGUGGCAGCAGUGAGGAAUAUUGGUCAAUGGGCGCGAGCCUGAACCAGCCAAGUCGCGUGAGGGAAGACGGUCCUAUGGAUUGUAAACCUCUUUUGUCGGGGAGCAAAAGACGCCACGCGUGGCGUUCCGAGCGUACCCGAAGAAAAAGCAUCGGCUAACUCCGGGCCAGCAGCCGCGGUAAUACGGAGGAUGCGAGCGUUAUCCGGAUUGAUUGGGGUUAAAGGGUGCGCAGGAGGAAGAUCAAGGCAGCGGUAAAAUUGAGAGGCUCAACCUCUUCGAGCCGUUGAAACUGGUUUUCUUGAGUGAGCGAGAGGUAUGCGGAAUGCGUGGUGUAGCGGUGAAAUGCAUAGAUAUAACGCAGAACUCCGAUGGCGAAGGCAGCAUACCGGCGCUCAACUGACGCUGAGGCACGAAAGUGUGGGUAGCGAACAGGAUUAGAUACCCCAGUAGUC
Molecule: ribosomal RNA, 459 nt
Filed under: uncultured bacterium
Lineage: Bacteria
Description: partial 16S ribosomal RNA
Rfam family: Bacterial small subunit ribosomal RNA
Source: RNAcentral